Molecule: ribosomal RNA, 956 nt
Filed under: uncultured prokaryote
Description: bacterial SSU rRNA
Rfam family: Bacterial small subunit ribosomal RNA
Source: RNAcentral
CCGGCGCGCUAUCAUGCAAGUCGAGCGGAUCUUCAUUAGCUUGCUUUUGAAGAUCAGCGGCGGACGGGUGAGUAACACGUGGGCAACCUGCCUGUAAGACUGGGAUAACUUCGGGAAACCGGAGCUAAUACCGGAUAAUCCUUUCCCUCACAUGAGGGAAAGCUGAAAGACGGUUUCGGCUGUCACUUACAGAUGGGCCCGCGGCGCAUUAGCUAGUUGGUGAGGUAACGGCUCACCAAGGCAACGAUGCGUAGCCGACCUGAGAGGGUGAUCGGCCACACUGGGACUGAGACACGGCCCAGACUCCUACGGGAGGCAGCAGUAGGGAAUCUUCCGCAAUGGACGAAAGUCUGACGGAGCAACGCCGCGUGAACGAUGAAGGCUUUCGGGUCGUAAAGUUCUGUUGUUAGGGAAGAACAAGUACCGGAGUAACUGCCGGUACCUUGACGGUACCUAACCAGAAAGCCACGGCUAACUACGUGCCAGCAGCCGCGGUAAUACGUAGGUGGCAAGCGUUGUCCGGAAUUAUUGGGCGUAAAGCGCGCGCAGGCGGUUCCUUAAGUCUGAUGUGAAAGCCCCCGGCUCAACCGGGGAGGGUCAUUGGAAACUGGGGAACUUGAGUGCAGAAGAGGAGAGCGGAAUUCCACGUGUAGCGGUGAAAUGCGUAGAGAUGUGGAGGAACACCAGUGGCGAAGGCGGCUCUCUGGUCUGUAACUGACGCUGAGGCGCGAAAGCGUGGGGAGCGAACAGGAUUAGAUACCCUGGUAGUCCACGCCGUAAACGAUGAGUGCUAAGUGUUAGAGGGUUUCCGCCCUUUAGUGCUGCAGCAAACGCAUUAAGCACUCCGCCUGGGGAGUACGGCCGCAAGGCUGAAACUCAAAGGAAUUGACGGGGGCCCGCACAAGCGGUGGAGCAUGUGGUUUAAUUCGAAGCAACGCGAAGAACCUUACCAGGUC